Molecule: ribosomal RNA, 242 nt
Filed under: uncultured Peptostreptococcus sp.
Lineage: Bacteria; Bacillati; Bacillota; Clostridia; Peptostreptococcales; Peptostreptococcaceae
Description: partial 16S ribosomal RNA
Rfam family: Bacterial small subunit ribosomal RNA
Source: RNAcentral
AGCGUGGGUAACCUGCCCUAUACACAUGGAUAACAUACUGAAAAGUUUACUAAUACAUGAUAAUAUAUAUUUACGGCAUCGUAGAUAUAUCAAAGUGUUAGCGGUAUAGGAUGGACCCGCGUCUGAUUAGCUAGUUGGUGAGAUAACUGCCCACCAAGGCGACGAUCAGUAGCCGACCUGAGAGGGUGAUCGGCCACAUUGGAACUGAGACACGGUCCAAACUCCUACGGGAGGCAGCAGCA